Regulatory RNA element from Filimonas lacunae, 36 nucleotides. It matches the Rfam family "DUF805b RNA". Rfam says of the family: Bacteroidetes, Chlorobi (1 example), Proteobacteria. Lineage (Flavobacteria) The record is from Rfam. Lineage: Bacteria; Pseudomonadati; Bacteroidota; Chitinophagia; Chitinophagales; Chitinophagaceae.
CAUGGGCAAGCCGAAAACCAUUCAAGAGAGUAGGCA